RNAcentral lists this long non-coding RNA (3854 nucleotides) under Zea mays. Its description in RNAcentral is "long non-coding RNA (ZMAY_LNC000672)". The record is from RNAcentral. Lineage: Eukaryota; Viridiplantae; Streptophyta; Magnoliopsida; Poales; Poaceae.
GUCAGCAUCUCAGACAGGAGCAAUGAGCAGACAACGAGAACAAGCCACGACAUGCGAGAGUCCAUCGUCCAAACGCCAAGGUUACUGAGCCAAUAUGGGCUAAGUAGUGGGUCAGCUAUCUAUGGGUCGCUUGAUGUUCGAGUAGUACUAUAUAAAAGACAAACACUUGUGUAAUAGGGGCAUGAACAAUUUAGCUAUCAAAUAUCAGACAAACUCGUCUUCCUCCCAGCUAUUCCCUUCUCCAAGUCUUAUUCUCCUCUGAGCUCUUCCUCAUCGAUCCCCCUUAUCAGGUGUCGCUAACAUUUGGUAUCAGACUAGGACUCAAUCUCGAUGGAGGCCACGAUGCAGGAUAUUCUAGACGCACUGGCGCGCAUGGAGGCACGCUUGACCGAUGCGCUGAUGGGUCGCUGCGGCGAGCAGUACGCACGCGAGCACACUUCCCCCUUCGACGGAUCCGCGCCUCCUUCUUCCAUCGUCAACACACAGUACCGCGACGAGGCAAUCCUUCCGCCUCUCGUCCACGACGACGCUGCGAAGGUGGCGUCCUUGGAUUCGGGAAACGACUUUGGCCUGCAGCAGACCGCCACGGUGCUUGCGUCCCUAGGGUCCGACGAGAUGUCUUCGUCGACCAUGCCCCUCGCCGGCUCCAUAUCCGACCGCUACAUUCCGCCGCUCUACGACGACGACUGCUACACCAUGCCACAGCCGUUUGUCGAUACUCUCGCCAACCCCGACGAUGACCUCCUCCAGGAGCUCGACGUGUUGGACGAGGAUGCCACGAGCGCCAACGCGGCUGACGACGAUUCAGGCGCUGUCCUCGUCUAUGCGCCGCUCGACUCGAACAUCGACAGCAGCGGAUCACCGCGCUACCCGUGCCUCCCCGAGGGCGCGGUGUUGUUCCAUCGGGACCCGGACGAGAAGGUCCUCAUCGGCGGGACGGAGUUGUCCGGCGAAGUCCGCCGCCUCCGUUUCUCCUUGUCGUCACCAGACCAGGCGAUGAACCCCGCGCUCGUCCCCAACACCGACGCAGAGGAGGAGGAGGUUCUCACCAUCACGCCCACCAAGUGUUCGACAAUAUACCUCAACCGCGGCAUUUACUCCGUCCCCAACCCGUUCCUCCAUCGUCAGCACCUACUCCGGGACUGCGACGACAACCACGUCGGAGUCGACGUCGACAUCCUUCCUACCUCCGAGUUCGACGAGGGUCCCAUCUUCGACGAGGAGCCCUGCUUCCACCGUAGCCUCCUGGAUUCAGAUCCAGACUCUCCCUACGACUGGGUCGUCCCCGUCAUCGCCGUCCACGGCAGCGGCGACACUGAGCUGUCCCACAGCGAAGUCGACAAGGUCCCCGCGACCGCCGCGCUACCCAACCUGCGCGAGAAGAUCUGCUGUCGGUUCGUCGACAGGACGAAGCUGUCCCGCCACGUCCGCCUCAUCCACUUCUCCCUACCGUUGCCGGACCAGGUGCUCGGCAUCCCCACCGGCACGCAUGUCUUCGACUGCACCAGCGUUGACGGGAAGCCGUGUAUGCGAUCGUACACGCCGACGAGCAAGGAGGACGAGGUUCUCGCCACUACGCCCAACGGGUGUUUGAUGAAUUGCUUCAUCCUCACACAGAGUUGUUUCUCGCCUCCGGUCAGUUGCAGCUGGGAUGCAGUGAUGCAGAGACAACCAUGGCCACCACCUAUGCAAUCCAACCGUGUUGUGAGCAUCACCGACCGCCACACCGAGGAGACCAGCCCCGUGCGCAAACUGGUUGCCGAGAUCAUUGGUGUGCUUGGGUCAAAACACAUGAGAACUGUCACGCCGCUUCCUGACACCGGUCAAUGGCUGCUUCUAUCAUUGAUCGAGAAGCUCCCUCAAAGCGUGGUUGAUCUACUGAGAGCUCAUGUUAUCAAUCUCCAUCAUUAUCUGAUGUUGUUUAGCUUGCUGGGAUUUUCAGUUCUGUUCGACUGUAUCAAAGCACCUGACUCGAAUGCUAUCUGUAGAGGCAUAACACAGGAUAUGACAUAUGCUGCUGUUCAAGCUUACACAGAUGCAUAUAAGCCUGAUUGGGAACGUAUCAACUUCAUUGUAGACAUUUUGAGAUCGACUCCUGGAGAAGGGCCUUCGUGGUACCAUCUUUUGAAGAAAGUUAGUGGCGGCUGCAAUGAUCUUAAGAACAACGAACACAUGCUUGUUGUUGUCCUUACCAAACAGCAAGCUAUUAAGAUAGGAGGCAACUUCCAGAUCGUGGAGUAUUUCCUGGUUGAGGCAAUCCAAAUCCAGUCAUAUGGAGCAGAGGGCAAUACCGAGCUCAACCUUUCAACUGGUGACUACAUAGUGGUAGGGGUGUCAGAUGUCCAGGUCUGGUGUGGCUGCGAUCUGCUAUUCCGCAUUACAGACUGGCACAUUCCAUGGCAUAUCAUCUUGGCGGUAUCAAAAUUUUCCAUCGGCUUGGGAGCCGGCCGAAGCUCAAGAAUGAAGAAAUGUCAGCCAUAUGUCCAGUCGUCAGUCACUUCCUGUGACAAGCAAAAGUUGUUUGUCCGAUUCUUUGGUGUGCUCUACAUAGUGUUCAACAAGAUGAACUUCAUGCUGCUGUUGGACGACGAUUGGGAGCCACUGAUGGAUAAUUACCGACCUUUGGGAAUAAAAUCUCUGAGGUUCAGCACAUUUUCUCUUGGAAAUAUGUCACCAAAGAUAGAAGAGCAAAAAAUUCAGUACAUCAUUCAUACCAUUGGAGGAAGCUUAACUGCAGUUCAUGGAUUUUUUGUCCAACUUGGUGUCAAUGUGGAUACGAGUGACUGGGAGCUUCAAACUCUGGGAAGACUUUCGGUUACUGUGGCAAAGCAAGCCAAGCUCGACCGCUUCCCCAUCACCAUUAGUGAUCCAAUCUCAGCUACGUUCGGUGAACCAUUUGAGAAAGCCAACCCAAGCCAUUCCUCCACAGCAAUCGUUUGUCGAGCUGGUUCAGGAAUUGGUAUGGCUGUUUGCCUUGUUUCUUCUAGUCUAGGUGUUGUUGCUAGUGGCCAAGGCAAUUUCAAAGUCUUAGUUUGGGAUCCUGGUGGUUAUGCAUAUCACAGCUUGGGGACAAGCUGUAUUUCAAGCGGUGGGGAAUGUCAGCAUCUCAGACAGGAGCAAUGAGCAGACAACGAGAACAAGCCACGACAUGCGAGAGUCCAUCGUCCAAACGCCAAGGUUACUGAGCCAAUAUGGGCUAAGUAGUGGGUCAGCUAUCUAUGGGUCGCUUGAUGUUCGAGUAGUACUAUAUAAAAGACAAACACUUGUGUAAUAGGGGCAUGAACAAUUUAGCUAUCAAAUAUCAGACAAACUCGUCUUCCUCCCAGCUAUUCCCUUCUCCAAGUCUUAUUCUCCUCUGAGCUCUUCCUCAUCGAUCCCCCUUAUCAGGUGUCGCUAACACAAGGACCCUAGAUUGUUUUUGUGUGUGUGUGUGCGUUACAAAAAGACUUGCUACCAGCUCGAACCUAGCAGCAGCUUCGAGAACCUGUUUGUUUACUACCACUAGUACUAUUGUAUACUGAUUCCAGUUAAUUAAGCACCGUACCGUGUGUCGAGGAAGAGCAUUGCCAGCGCGCGUGCAUUGUAUUGUAUGCACGGCUGUGGACCGUAACUUUGGCCGCCACUCCGCCAGCUGAUGAGCAGGGGCAGUACAGGCCAAGAACGAUCCAUCAUGGACGCACGGCAUGAGCUAAUGUUGGGGAAAUAAUAAUCUGUGCCGUUUGCGUACGUCAGCAAAUUGCACGGCUGUUUUCUGGACAUUGCAAAAGAGUGUGAGAGAGUUUCUUUACGCAAGCAACGGAAUCUUACUCCCAGCACGUUAUAUUUCCAGGCACCAAAUCCGAAUCGCAUCAGUG